UGAAAUGCUACUUCACACAAAACAACUAGAAUAAGUGGAGCAUUACUCCAUAUGGAACAACUAAUACAAGUAGAACAGUUACUUCACACAAAAUAACCACUUCACAUCGAUGCCAGUGAAAGCAAACUGGAAUAAGUGACAGCGUUCAUGAGUUACUUUCAUAUUGAGAUGUUCCGAAGAGUUUGAUUGGAUUGCUUAAAUAUAAAGGUAGUUAAGAAAUCUUCCUAUUAACUUUUUUCUUAAAAUACAAGUAUUUCACCCUCCAACAUUGUUCUCGUGUACUUAUUCACAUAUAUCUU
RNAcentral lists this long non-coding RNA (299 nucleotides) under Theobroma cacao (cacao). RNAcentral describes it as "long non-coding RNA (TCAC_LNC002572)". Lineage: Eukaryota; Viridiplantae; Streptophyta; Magnoliopsida; Malvales; Malvaceae. The record is from RNAcentral.